AGAGUUUGAUCAUGGCUCAGGACGAACGCUGGCGGCGUGCCUAAUACAUGCAAGACGAGCGGAGCUUGCAUGCGGAAGCCUUCGGGUGGAAGCGUGCGGGCUUAGCGGCGAACGGGUGAGUAACACGUAGGCAACCUGCCCGCAAGACCGGGAUAACAUCCGGAAACGGAUGCUAAUACCGGAUAGACAGCCCGGCCGCAUGGCGGGGCUGGGAAAGGCGGGGCAACCUGCCACUUGCGGAUGGGCCCGCGGCGCAUUAGCUAGUUGGCGGGGUAACGGCCCACCAAGGCGACGAUGCGUAGCCGGCCUGAGAGGGUGACCGGCCACACUGGGACUGAGACACGGCCCAGACUCCUGCGGGAGGCAGCAGUAGGGAAUCUUCCACAAUGGGCGAAAGCCUGAUGGAGCGACGCCGCGUGAGUGAGGAAGGCCUUCGGGUCGUAA
This 444-nucleotide ribosomal RNA is filed under the name uncultured bacterium. Its description in RNAcentral is "bacterial SSU rRNA". It matches the Rfam family "Bacterial small subunit ribosomal RNA", at positions 8 to 428 of the family's 1533-position model. The record is from RNAcentral.